This 440-nucleotide ribosomal RNA is filed under the name uncultured Spirochaeta sp. RNAcentral's name for it is "bacterial SSU rRNA". It matches the Rfam family "Bacterial small subunit ribosomal RNA", at positions 940 to 1382 of the family's 1533-position model. Lineage: Bacteria; Pseudomonadati; Spirochaetota; Spirochaetia; Spirochaetales; Spirochaetaceae. The record is from RNAcentral.
UGUGGUUAAUUCGAUGGUACGCGAGGAACCUUACCAGGGCUUGACAUACGCCGGAAGCGCAUCGAAAGGUGCGUGCCGCUUGCGGCCGGCGUACAGGUGCUGCAUGGCUGUCGUCAGCUCGUGCUGUGAAGUGUUCGGGUUAAGUCCCGCAACGAGCGCAACCCCUGCUGCCUGUUGCCACCACGAGAGGUGGGGACUCAGGCGGGACCGCCGGUGACAAACCGGAGGAAGUGGGGACGACGUCAAGUCAUCAUGGCCCUUAUGUCCUGGGCUACACACGUGCUACAAUGGCCGGUACAGAGCGCAGCGAGGCCGCGAGGCGGAGCGAAUCGCUUAAAGCCGGUCCCAGUACGGAUUGGAGUCUGCAACCCGACUCCAUGAAGUUGGAAUCGCUAGUAAUCGCGCAUCAGCAUGGCGCGGUGAAUACGUUCCCGGGCCUU